Transfer RNA from Ipomoea nil (Japanese morning glory), 82 nucleotides. It matches the Rfam family "tRNA". From Rfam's summary of the family: Transfer RNA (tRNA) molecules are approximately 80 nucleotides in length. NCBI's taxonomy places the organism in Eukaryota, Viridiplantae, Streptophyta, Magnoliopsida, Solanales, Convolvulaceae. The record is from Rfam.
GUGGGUGUGGUGGAGUGGUUAUUGAGCAUAACUAGAAAUCAUGUGGGCUAAGCCCGCGCAGGUUCGAACCCUGCCGCUCACG